AUGAGUUUUUGGCAUGUGAUGAGCAUCAGGCUGCAGCACCUCAGCCUGCCAGCUGGGCACAGCUGCCAGCAAGGCCUGGGUCACUCCUCAUGUGGCAGGGCCUCGAGAAGGCCUGGGGAAGGGACGCUUGUUUGGGUUUGCAGUUUCUGCAGCUAAUCUGCACAGUAACUAAGUGACAAUGAGGAAGACAGCACAAAAGGAGUAAGCUAGUGCUUAUACUUAAAAACAAACCUUGUUGCUUCAGAUUGCAGGAAAAAAGCCAAUUUAUCUCCUUUUUUGGAAAAAAGCACACUGAUUGGAACACACUCUUACCCUGGGUAUUCUGAAAAGGAAGGGUUUGUUUAGUGAUGCUGAUUUAAAGCCCUAUUGAAAUGAUAUGAGCAGCAGAAGUCUCGGACUUGUCUCCUCUGCCAAAUGAGAUACAGGCAGAGCAAGGAAAAGAGAGGAAACCACAAGUUAUAUCACUAAUCAUUUUUUUUAAACGGAGUCCAACAAGACUGUACGGAAUGUGGAGGAGGAAACAAGCUGUAGCACUCACAGGUUAUCAUGCUGCUUGUAGCACAGUUUGGAGAAGCCCAGGGAUUGUCUCACACUGUACUAGAAAUUAACUGCUCCUAGGAAGUCACCUUUCAAGACUUUCCCUGCUAUGGCAGGCAAAGUGAUUUUGCAGAAGCUUAUUGGAUUAACAUAGCAGAAGACUAACAUGAAUAAACCCACGACAGCCCCAGAGAGUAUUGCAAAACCUUCCCACCCCGAACUUCUUACCUCUGUGAUUUCUGUAUUUUUGAGAAGAAACUCAAAAUUUGGUCGGUGGGAGCUUCUUGCUGUGUCUGUGGAAUAUCUGUUGAGAUUUGUGUGAAUCGUGUGAUGUUGAAAAUUGCCCUUUGUUUCUGCAUUUAUUCUCCUCCUGACAUUUUGGUUGAGGUAUUUUCUCUUAUGUCAUAAAUGUUAUAAACAUCUAGACUUGAGAAAUCUGGAAAUGUUUUGGACUUCUUUGGU
Long non-coding RNA from Cygnus olor (mute swan), 999 nucleotides. RefSeq lists it as uncharacterized. The record is from RefSeq and is a predicted model, not a curated record. The transcript is spliced from 3 exons. NCBI's taxonomy places the organism in Eukaryota, Metazoa, Chordata, Aves, Anseriformes, Anatidae.